Molecule: non-coding RNA, 177 nt
Filed under: Chloroflexota bacterium
Lineage: Bacteria; Bacillati; Chloroflexota
Description: Chloroflexi bacterium 6S RNA
Rfam family: 6S / SsrS RNA
About the family: E. coli 6S RNA was the first non coding RNA to be sequenced, but its function was unknown until recently. It consists of 184 nucleotides that fold into an extended hairpin structure with a large single-stranded internal bulge. The 6S RNA specifically associates with RNA polymerase holoenzyme containing the sigma70 specificity factor.
Source: RNAcentral
ACCACCCUACUGUGUUCGCGAUGUGAUCAACGUGUUUUGAGCCAACACUAACUUUUAGGGUUCCAAUAUGGAAGGAGCUACGCGAUAGGCCUGAGCCAAGGCGGAACUCCUUAUGAGGAAACCCAACCUGCAUACGCAGGUUCAAGACCAAAUCACACACGGCAUGGUGGGGUGUUU